RNAcentral lists this unclassified non-coding RNA (767 nucleotides) under Hevea brasiliensis (rubber tree). Lineage: Eukaryota; Viridiplantae; Streptophyta; Magnoliopsida; Malpighiales; Euphorbiaceae. The record is from RNAcentral.
AGAAUCGACCGAUACACAUGUACUGGCUCAAGUUGCAGAAUACCGCCAGGGUACAAGAGAGAAGGAUGAAGGCAAUUGCGCCAGUGGAAAAAGUAUACUCGUGGAGGGAGAGACCGCUGAUGGUGUAGUCCACAAAUGGGCCGAACACAAGCAGCGACGCUGCCUGUAUGGGUGCGGUCUGGCUCAGGAGCUCGAAAGAGCUGAUGCUAUACUUUUUCUGAAGAGAACCAAUUGUAAUCUGCUGUAACGAUGAGCAGAACACGGCAACACAGGAGCAGAGAAGCCCCAAGGUGUUGGCCUUGACAUCCGUCACCGUGCAAACCCCUACUCCGAACGCCACGACCGACACCGACAUGAUAACCCGAGCAGAGUAAUGCUUCCGGUGGAGCACGAACUCCAUCAAGCAUACAACCGGGAUCAUGCUCAACUUCGUAAUCUGGUAAAAUCCAACCGAGUUGAGCAUCAAACUGAAAUUCAUCCCGGUGAUUGACAAAUUGGCGAUAAUCGAGAACCAGAGGAGCUCCCAGAGCGGGAUCGGCUUCGAGUUCGUGCAUCCGGCCUUCUUCGAUAUCCAUCCGACUAGUGCAGUCACUAGGAAGUGGAAUCCCGUUAGCGUCGUGGCGAAUCCGAACCCGUAGCCGGCGGAGGACAUGAGCUGUUUAUUCACCAUGAUGAUCCCGACGGAGCUGACGAUGUUCAUCCCCCAGGCGCCGACGUUCGACACCGCGGGCUUCUUCUCGGAGUCCAUGGCCGCCGGCGAGAAGCGA